GAGAUGGACUGGUGCCUUCGGGAACUGUGAGACAGGUGCUGCAUGGCUGUCGUCAGCUCGUGUUGUGAAAUGUUGGGUUAAGUCCCGCAACGAGCGCAACCCUUAUCCUUUGUUGCCAGCGGUUAGGUCGGGAACUCAAAGGAGACUGCCAGUGAUAAACUGGAGGAAGGUGGGGAUGACGUCAAGUCAUCAUGGCCCUUACGACCAGGGCUACACACGUGCUACAAUGGCGCAUACAAAGAGAAGCGA
Molecule: ribosomal RNA, 249 nt
Filed under: Salmonella enterica subsp. enterica serovar Weltevreden
Lineage: Bacteria; Pseudomonadati; Pseudomonadota; Gammaproteobacteria; Enterobacterales; Enterobacteriaceae
Description: partial 16S ribosomal RNA
Rfam family: Bacterial small subunit ribosomal RNA
Source: RNAcentral